This 254-nucleotide ribosomal RNA is filed under the name uncultured bacterium. RNAcentral describes it as "partial 16S ribosomal RNA". It matches the Rfam family "Bacterial small subunit ribosomal RNA", at positions 524 to 776 of the family's 1533-position model. The record is from RNAcentral.
UACAGAGGAUGCAAGCGUUAUCCGGAAUGAUUGGGCGUAAAGAGCUCGUAGGCGGCUUGGCAAGUCGGAUGUGAAAACUCCAGGCUCAACCUGGAGCCGCCAUUCGAUACUGCUAUGGCUAGAGUCCGGUAGGGGAGUGUGGAAUUCCCGGUGUAGCGGUGAAAUGCGCAGAUAUCGGGAGGAACACCGAUGGCGAAGGCAGCACUCUGGGCCGGCACUGACGCUGAGGAGCGAAAGCGUGGGGAGCGAACAGG